AACAUCAUAUUCUAUAUUACAAAAACGAUUUGACUCAAAAUGUAUCAGAAGAGGUGAAAGAAAGAUAGUGGUCAUCUGCGCAAUUCG
Long non-coding RNA from Sinocyclocheilus grahami, 87 nucleotides. RefSeq lists it as uncharacterized. The transcript is spliced from 3 exons. NCBI's taxonomy places the organism in Eukaryota, Metazoa, Chordata, Actinopteri, Cypriniformes, Cyprinidae. The record is from RefSeq and is a predicted model, not a curated record.